This 1129-nucleotide long non-coding RNA is filed under the name Homo sapiens (human). RNAcentral's name for it is "HSALNT0292897". Lineage: Eukaryota; Metazoa; Chordata; Mammalia; Primates; Hominidae. The record is from RNAcentral.
AGGAGGGAGGGAGGGAAGGAGACGCGGCCGGGCGGGGGCGCGCGUCCUCUGGGCCAACGCCGCGGAGCCGCCCGGCCCUGCCGAGCUCCGGGCCCCAGGCCAGCACCUCCUGGCUGAGGAGUGCCCGGAAGCAAUCCUAUAGGUGUCGCCGCGUCGCCCCGCCGCGCAGCAGGGCAGCGCCAAAGCCGCUGGCCCGCGGGGAGGGAAGGAAAGGGAGAAAGCAGUAACUCAUAAUCAGAAGAGAAUUUAUCAUGAAGUUAAUUAAGCUGUGUACCUAAUUUUGUAUCUGUCAUCGUGUAUUCUUAAAAGAAGACUCCGACAUUGUAUAAGUUCUGGAUCUGAACAAAACCUGGAUAAACUCUGGUGCUUUAUUAACUUGAUGAAGAUUAGUGACACUGAGGAAUACUGAGGAACCAGGCUCUAUUCCACCCCAUCCCCUUCAUACACACCUCAUUCCAAAUGCUAUCCUGUCACAGCAGAUGCCACAUCACUUUUGGGGUGGGCUAAGAGAUCAAGAAUUGCCAUAAUAUUGAUUUGAAAAAGGAGACCUGAGCACAUAAGUGAUCAAAAACAUAUGAGAUGAAUGAGUAAAUGAACGGAGCUUGCAUUUGAGAGGCUGAACACAUUGGCAGUGACAUGAAGCACAUGAGAAUGACAGCACUAAACGCAGCGCGCAACCUGGGAAAGAGGCUGAAAAAAUACCUACUCAGCCACGACACUCCCUGUAGGGCAAGCUUAUCUGUGUGCUUACUUGGAAGCUCUUGCUUACUUAGAAGCUCCAGAGCCAGACGUCUCUUCGACCAGGAGACUGCCUCGAGAGAUAACAAAUUAUAACCUAAAGUAUGCCCAUGAUGAAACUCACUCCCACUUGGAGAGUAUCUCAAGACUCUGGCCACCUUACCACCUAGUUCUGCCCGCGAGGGCACCAGCUCAACCACCUGGUAGAUAAAGCACCAAAGCAAGUCAUUGAGACCCCCACUGGCUCACCCCCUCCCCUGCAUGCCAUUCAUGUCAAGUCCCCCUUUGAAAACCCUUGCUUUUUUGCCCCAAAAGUGAAGCAGUACCCUUAAAGGCAGAAGCCUGUACUUCUCCCCCUCAACAAAGCUUUGGAAUAAAAGUUACAAGAUCA